RNAcentral lists this transfer RNA (75 nucleotides) under Desmophyllum pertusum. RNAcentral describes it as "tRNA-Thr". It matches the Rfam family "tRNA". From Rfam's summary of the family: Transfer RNA (tRNA) molecules are approximately 80 nucleotides in length. Their secondary structure includes four short double-helical elements and three loops (D, anti-codon, and T loops). The record is from RNAcentral. Lineage: Eukaryota; Metazoa; Cnidaria; Anthozoa; Scleractinia; Caryophylliidae.
GUCUCUCCGUAGCUCAGUGGUUAGAGCAUCCGACCGGUGUAUGGAAGGUCAUGGGUUUGAGUCCCGUUUGGGACU